ACAGAGUCUUAGCUCAGAAUUACCUUCCCCGUAUUGUUCAUUUAUUUUCUUUUUACAAAUGAUUUCGAUAUAAUCGUCGAGCAUGUGGUCCCAUAUUUUAUGGCGCUAAAUUAUCGGACCAUAAUCAUAGAGUUAAUGGGUUGUUUAUGCCUACUAAUGACUGUGACACAUAAUCGAUAACCGUUCAUAAUGAUUAGAUGUGUUGAGAUGAUAGACCGACUAUAUGUCGAUAAUAGUGGUAAGUCGAUAGUCCUGG
This 256-nucleotide long non-coding RNA is filed under the name Elaeis guineensis (African oil palm). RNAcentral's name for it is "long non-coding RNA (EGUI_LNC018791)". Lineage: Eukaryota; Viridiplantae; Streptophyta; Magnoliopsida; Arecales; Arecaceae. The record is from RNAcentral.